RNAcentral lists this ribosomal RNA (379 nucleotides) under uncultured eukaryote. Its description in RNAcentral is "partial 18S ribosomal RNA". It matches the Rfam family "Eukaryotic small subunit ribosomal RNA", at positions 592 to 976 of the family's 1831-position model. The record is from RNAcentral.
CAAUAGCGUAUAUUAAAGUUGUUGCGGUAGAAAAGCUCGUAGUUGGAUUUCUGUUGAGAGCGACCGGUCCAUACCAUGUAUGCGUAUCUGGCUUGCUCUCGGCAUCCUCUCGAUAGACGUUACUGCGCUUGAUUGCGUGGUGCGGAUCUCGGGACUUUUACUUUGAGGAAAUUAGAGUGUUCACGGCAGGCUUUCGCCAGAAUACAUUAGCAUGGAAUAAUACUAUAGGAUCUUGGUUCUAUUUUGUUGGUUUCUAGAAUUGAGAUAAUGAUUAAUAGGGACAAUUGGGGGCAUUCGUAUCAACACGUCAGAGGUGGAAUUCUUGGAUUGUGUUGCGACGAACUACUGCGAAAGCAUUUGCCAAGGAUGUUUUCAUUGA